GACUUUCAGAAGUGACAUCCGAUAAGAUUGAAACUAUACAGAGAAGAUUAGCAUGGCCCUUGCGCAAGGAUGACAUUCACAAAUCGAGAAAUAGCCUAUGAUAAU
RNAcentral lists this small nuclear RNA (105 nucleotides) under Marchantia polymorpha subsp. ruderalis. Lineage: Eukaryota; Viridiplantae; Streptophyta; Marchantiopsida; Marchantiales; Marchantiaceae. The record is from RNAcentral.